Thalassophryne amazonica is the source of this 235-nucleotide long non-coding RNA. RefSeq lists it as uncharacterized. The record is from RefSeq and is a predicted model, not a curated record. NCBI's taxonomy places the organism in Eukaryota, Metazoa, Chordata, Actinopteri, Batrachoidiformes, Batrachoididae. The transcript has 3 exons.
CAUUGAGUUUAAAUACCAGAGGAACCUUGCUUAAAAUCCCAGCCUGACUGUAAAAUCACAAAGGGCCCUUGAGAAAGGUCCUUAUUCCCCUACUUGCUCCCGGUGUAGUGAGCGCAUUGUAUGGCAGCACCCUCAAAUCAGGGUGAAUGUGAGGCAUUAUUGUAAAGCGCUUUGAGCAUCUGAUGCAGAUGGAAAAGCGCUAUGUAAAUGCAGUCCAUUUACCAUUUAGCUCUGC